GGGCGGUUAGCUCAGCUGGUUUAGAGCGUCUCGUUUACACCGAGAGGGUCGUGGGUUCGAAUCCUACACCGCCCA
RNAcentral lists this transfer RNA (75 nucleotides) under Candidatus Omnitrophota bacterium. RNAcentral's name for it is "tRNA-Val". It matches the Rfam family "tRNA". Rfam says of the family: Transfer RNA (tRNA) molecules are approximately 80 nucleotides in length. Their secondary structure includes four short double-helical elements and three loops (D, anti-codon, and T loops). Further hydrogen bonds mediate the characteristic L-shaped molecular structure. tRNAs have two regions of fundamental functional importance: the anti-codon, which is responsible for specific mRNA codon recognition, and the 3' end, to which the tRNAs corresponding amino acid is attached (by aminoacyl-tRNA synthetases). tRNAs cope with the degeneracy of the genetic code in two manners: having more than one tRNA (with a specific anti-codon) for a particular amino acid; and 'wobble' base-pairing, i.e. permitting non-standard base-pairing at the 3rd anti-codon position. The record is from RNAcentral. Lineage: Bacteria; Pseudomonadati; Candidatus Omnitrophota.